Molecule: ribosomal RNA, 463 nt
Filed under: uncultured bacterium
Lineage: Bacteria
Description: bacterial SSU rRNA
Rfam family: Bacterial small subunit ribosomal RNA
Source: RNAcentral
CCAGACUCCUACGGGAGGCAGCAGUGAGGAAUAUUGGUCAAUGGGCGAGAGCCUGAACCAGCCAAGUCGCGUGAGGGAUGACGGCCCUACGGGUUGUAAACCUCUUUUGUCGGGGAGCAAAUUCCGCCACGUGUGGCGGAGUCGAGAGUACCCGAAGAAAAAGCAUCGGCUAACUCCGUGCCAGCAGCCGCGGUAAUACGGAGGAUGCGAGCGUUAUCCGGAUUUAUUGGGUUUAAAGGGUGCGUAGGCGGACGCUUAAGUCAGCGGUAAAAUUGCGGGGCUCAAUCUCGUCGAGCCGUUGAAACUGGGUGCCUUGAGUGGGCGAGAAGUACGCGGAAUGCGUGGUGUAGCGGUGAAAUGCAUAGAUAUCACGCAGAACUCCGAUUGCGAAGGCAGCGUACCGGCGCCCAACUGACGCUGAAGCACGAAGGCGUGGGUAUCGAACAGGAUUAGAUACCCAGUA